UAAAAACUACUUUCGGGGAUCAUUUCCGUAGUUCGCUACUAGAGAAGUUUCUCCGGCUGUGAAGAGCACAGAAACCACAAGGAAACGGCACAGCGUUCUCUCCUGAGCGUGGAACUGGCUCUGGGGGUCAUUUUGCUGCAACUGCCACUUGCCACUCAUGAUCAUUCCUGCUCUCCUUCGGGGGACCUGGAGGGAGAGUCUGCAGUCUGAGUGGC
Small nucleolar RNA from Jaculus jaculus (lesser Egyptian jerboa), 215 nucleotides. Its record names the gene U3. It matches the Rfam family "Small nucleolar RNA U3". Rfam says of the family: Small nucleolar RNAs (snoRNAs) are involved in the processing and modification of rRNA in the nucleolus. There are two main classes of snoRNAs: the box C/D class, and the box H/ACA class. The record is from Ensembl. Lineage: Eukaryota; Metazoa; Chordata; Mammalia; Rodentia; Dipodidae.